CGAGCCUGUGGUGUGAUGAGUCUGUCUGAUUCUUUUCACUGCUGUCUGCCUCUGGUAUGUGAAGACGAGACACUGGCUUAGAAGUCGUGGCAACUGAGAUGAAUGAACCACGCUGGAAAUGAGGAAAAGCCCCUUCAGACCUUACAAAAGAGGAUUUAAACAUAUAAUAUAAAGACAAAACUUUAAUGUUAAUAUAGUGUCUGUAAUCCUGUAAGGGCAUGUAGCACUUUACCUCUAUCUAAACUAUUCUUCCAGAAGCGUUAGAGGUUUAGUAGCAUGACUUUUACUGCCUCACCCUUUCAGGGAGCAGUUAUGCACAGCAGAGGGUGGAAUGGAGCACAGUCCUCCACUGCCUGCUCUGCACAUCUUUCUGCAGAGGAAAGCAGUGCAGAACCAGGCAGACAUUACAGUAUCCUGAUUUACCUGCAGCUUCCUCUUCCAGCUUCUGAGACAGGGUCCUGAAAUUAAAUCUGGAUGGCAUUCAGGAACAGUUUAGUACUUGAAGUCUCUACUGUCUUCACAGAGAAGGAAAAUAGAAGGAAAAAACAGAAGUUACAGCACUCUGGGAGCAUAACCCUGCAAGUACGUCUUGCAUGUUUGAAGGUUUGCUGCAGAGCAACCUCCUAUCACGGCCCAGCGGAGCAGACCCUUAGCAGCUGUGCACAUCACACUUCAGUCAGGAAGAAAAUCUAUUCGGAUAAGAAUUUCGCUGGGAAACAGGAUUAGUCCACGUGGUCUGAAAUUGGACCAACUUGCUCAACUCCCCUCUCUCUGGAUGCACCACAAGCCUAAGGCUGAGUGAACGUGGUGGGAUUUACUCUGGCCAAGGUCUGCCUUUUUAAUUCACUUCUUCCAGGUGCAUCCAGCGCAGCUGAGUUUGGGUUCUGGCCUUCUUAAAGAGAUGUGGGCUUGAUGUGAGGAACUGGAAGUGAGCUCAGGGAACAGCUCAUUCCAGGACCAUGUGCAAAGAACUGAAGGUCAGGAUGUGUGCUGGUGAUAGAUUUUGGAAAAUUUUGCUGCACAGCAAGGAGUAGUAUCAGCAUCAAGGACUUUGUUGAACUGCCUUGAGCAUAUUUAUUUCUUGCCUGCCUCUUCUCAGCGCACCUCAGAGACGUAAUUGCUUUGCCUGACCAAUGGAGUCAGACAUCGUUUGUUGCCAGCACCAUGAAAAAAGAGGAAAUGUUUACCUCUGUUACAAAACAUAGCAAGCCUGACUGUGAUUUCAACUGCACUGGGUUUGCACAGAUCUAUCUCUAUGGAGCCACAUUUCUGUUAAUCCAGCUUUACUUUUACUUUAUUAUAUAUUUUAGUUUCAGCUGGGACGAUGUUUUUAAAUAAGGAUGUGACAAAACCUACUCUCCUAGCCAAGAUGAACACAGCAAGAUGAAACCAUCAUUGCUAUUUUGGAUACAUUUAACAGGAACCACUAUGAAGUAGAAAUGCAAGUAAAGUUUGGAUGGGUAAAUUUUUCAUGCGAAUGACAUUUGCAAGUCAGUCCCUAAGAGAAAUGUCAGCAUCCCCUUCCAUCUUGGCUGCACCACAAGAAAAACAGACAACUGCCUAAUGUGGGUCCAGUCACCAACUUGUUUUGUAAUGGUGGUGGGGGAAGAAUGCUGCAACUAUUGGUCUGGAUCAGACCUGGUAAUUCUGGUGUGUAUGUCAGGCUGCGGUAACAGCUACCUUCGCAAGGCUGAGCUUGGAUGGCUGCGGUGUCCCUGUGAGCUGGGGCGAUCUUGGUGUUUAGGCUCUUUUUCUCUGUUCUUUGCAUAAAACCUUCAAGGGGAUUGUUUUAGCUUAAAUAAAAUCUCUAGAACUUAUCUUUUCAUUUGAAUGCUUCUCUCCUGAAGCGACUUCCUUCAACAGAGAGGGAUUUCAGCCAGGAUUUACUUUGAUUCUCAGGCCAACAGGAAUAAAUCUCUAUCUCAUGAUUUCUCUCCCCGCCUCUGCCUGCAAACAGAUGGAAGACAAAACUUCAGUGGUUACUACAUGGCUCUGAGGUAUGGAGUGGAAAGCAGAAAUACUUCCAGACUUCCUCUGGACUGGUGGUAUUCUGACCUCUGUGGCUCUGUCCUUGCUCAGCAUCUGUCACCUCGGUACAAAUCUCUGUAGUAAUCUGCUACAAGACCUGGAUCUCGCUUUUCAUUUGCCAUGUAUUUUGCACUGCUGAGGGGGGGGGGGUAAACAAAAGGUUAUAACCCAAACUGUGAGCAGAGACCAUGGCAAGGAUAUAGAAAGAUGUAAAAGCAGCUGCUAUCAACCAUCCUGAGCGGGCCAGAGCCCUGGUGAGAGGCAAGCAUCUGUACAGGAGAGCUGGAGGCAGAGUGGACUUUCCUGCCUCUUGGAAAGCAACAGCAGGGAUCUGCCUGUAGGAACAAUUGUCUCUGUGUUUCAUUGCAGGUGGUUUCAGUGUCUCCCUGGCCUCUCCUGUGAAGCUGCUGGGUUUAUGAGCCCACUGUGCUGUCUGAGGUGAUAAACCAGGCAAUGUAACACAUUUGCUCUGUGAGGCAACAGUGGUGCUGACAAUGCUGGAAACCAAAUGCAUCGCAAGCUGAGUGGACAACAGUUUUGCCUGCAACUUCAAAUGAACCUGAAUUUAGCCUCUGGGAGCCCCACACCCCAUUCUGAGCAUCCAGGACCCACUUCUGUGCUCCACACACAGCAAUGACAUUGCUACUGUCAAGCCCUCCUGGGCCAGGGCCUCUUUCUGCUCCUUGCAGGCUGGUUCCUGUCACGCUGACAUCAGCAGCCUGCUCAGCCUGCCUGCUGCUCAUGCACUGUGUCACUGGCCUGUCAUUUCUGUUUCCAGUUACAGUUCAUCCCAAUAAAGUCAUGACUCACUGGGGGAAAAGCAGAGUCUGCAAGCAGUGCUGGAGCCAAGGCUUUGCUCAGCUGUUGCUAAUGCUUCACUGGUGGCUGAUGCUGAGCCAAGACUGAUGCAGGACCGCUGGCAGUGGAAUCACCUCUCUUGUCACAUUAAGCAUCGUGAAAUGAGGUUAGCACAAUUUUACAUGUCCUGAGAUAACGAUGCUUUCCCAGCCCACUUAUUUUCAUCUGUAUUUGUGAAAAUCAGCAAGUAGUCAGGACCACAGCAAGCACAGGUUCCAGAUCCUGUGAGGUGGUGCUCACUGCUGUUUAGGGAAGAGGUUUUUGCUUCAUUGUGAUGGCAAAUGCUUUGUGUGGCUGGAUGGACAGCCAAGCAGUCUGUGAUCUCUCAGUUGCAGUCUGGUUCCUGCAGUGUUUAUGCACUUAAGGUGCUUAUGUCCUGGGCUGUACCAGUAGGUGUAGGGCAGUGACAGAAAAUGUGCACGGGGAAACUCCUGCCUACUUCUCCAGCCAGGUCAUAAUAUAUUUCACUGCUUGCAUUUUUGCAAUCACAAGAAACCAUAUAAACAAACAUUGUACCUUUAAAUCCACUGUAAUUCUACUCUGUAAACAUCUAAUUACUAAUUAUACGCAUGUAAUCACUGGCAUAUAAUCACUAAUUAUCUCUAGAUGCACCACCUGUUUUUGCUGUAGAGCAUCAGUGUGCUCUCCUGAGGCUAGGAACAAGGCUGUGUGCAGGGAGAUUGAAGGGGAGACCACUUCAGGUCUGGAGAAAGAAGCAGAGGCCAGGUUUCCCAAAGGGAAAUUUUCUGAACUCCUGUUUCACAAUUGUUAUUUGCUAACAUUUUGACUAUCAGCUCAUUUCAGGACAAAAAUCCAACGUGUAGAGAAUUUCCUAUAGAUUUUGUUCAGCACUAAGCAAAUCUGGAAGCAAAAGGCAUUGCUCCAUUUCAGAAGUAUUCUUGGAAUAACCCAGCACAGAAGAUUAUAGAUCUGUUUUAACAUUAGGUAAGUGUUCUCAGUUAGCGUGGAGACUGAGAGCGUGCUGAAGUCAAUCUGUAUGUGUUGUUAGAAGGAAUACACUCUAGGAGUAGAACAGAAUUCUGAAACAGAUAUGAACAUUCUAUGAACCCGCUUUCCCUUGUGGCUUUAACAUGAAAUGAUGAAUAGGCUUUUGACAAUCAAAUCUUUUUUCUUUGACUUUGCUGAAAUAUUUCAUUAAAAUUGCCACCCUACUUUAUAGCAGCUUGUCAGAUGCUGCCUGUGCCUGUGAUGAAAUCUUUCACCAGUACCUGAUGUAAAGGCUUAUUUCCCACCUCAUAUCUCUUCCAUAUUAGAUACCCAUCCUGCCUUCUUUGCCAGGUUCCAGCAGCACAAAGUAUGCCCUUCUAGUCUCACCCAUUUACUUAUCUCAUCCACUGUAGCAUAUCCAACACGAAGCAGAGCUGACAGGGUCUGUAUUGCCUUGUUUAACUACAGGUGUGUAGGGCAGCACAACUGCUAUACCAGAUGUGCCCAGAUUGGGCCCAGUCAAAUAAAUGGCACGUUCAUAGGCUCCCACAUAAACUCAUAUGCUUGGGAACAAAGACAUUCCUAUGAGUAAACUGUGUUCUGGAAAACUGAUCUUAAAUCAGCUGAACAUCAGCUCCCAGCAUGACUCUGUGGCGAAGACAAUUAUCACCAGUUCUUUGAUGUCUCAACAGACAUAUCAAACGUGAGUACACAUGGAUGUAUUUAACAUUGCUGUACUAUUGCCAUGCUGUCAUCAAUUCUAGCUGCCUGCGUUUCCAAAAACUGCCAUCCCUCCAGACACAAUCAUAGCAGAAAGACUGGAAAACUGUCUGUGGUUUCUUCUCAAAGACAACAACACAACCUUUGUCACGUCAAAGAAAAGGUUACAUACAAUUUGAUCACAAUCUGUAAA
Tympanuchus pallidicinctus (lesser prairie-chicken) is the source of this 4747-nucleotide long non-coding RNA. RefSeq lists it as uncharacterized. NCBI's taxonomy places the organism in Eukaryota, Metazoa, Chordata, Aves, Galliformes, Phasianidae. The record is from RefSeq and is a predicted model, not a curated record. The transcript has 2 exons.